RNAcentral lists this long non-coding RNA (874 nucleotides) under Pogona vitticeps (central bearded dragon). RNAcentral describes it as "lncRNA (ENSPVIG00000008683.1)". Lineage: Eukaryota; Metazoa; Chordata; Lepidosauria; Squamata; Agamidae. The record is from RNAcentral.
GCCAGAUUUCAUUGUUCACUACUACAUAACCCAUCUUCAGUACAAGAUCUAAACUACAUAAACCCAUAUCAUUACAGGAGGAACAUAGAGCUACGAAGGCGAAGGAAGAGCCCCUCCCCUUGGACGCCCUUUCAACGGGAGCCGGAAGAAGCGGGGAUCCUGCAGCGCCUGCCUCUUCCCCUUCGGCCCAAGAAAGGCGCCUGGAGGAGAGAAGCGGGGCUUUUGGGCCGCCUCCUGGAUCGGGACCUGGACGGAGGAAGGGGUGAGACUCAGCUGAUUGCUCUUUGCUGUUUUUGGACCCAAAAACCAAUAACCAAAUCCCAGAUCCCUCCAACAUUUGCAAGUCAUUGGCUCCUGAAUCAAGGUUCCAUUGUGAUGGACAAGAGUGGUUCCUGACCUGUCAGUCACAACAGGAAGGGGUGAGACUGAGCUGAAUUCUCUUUGCUGUUUUUAGGACCAAAACUGAAGAACCAAAUCCCAGAUCCCUCCAACAUUUGCAAGGUCAGUGAGAUUUCAAGGGGUGGCUUAAGUAGCCUUGCCAACCACUCUCUUCUCUCAGUUUCCGUGGCCCAGCAGGGAUUUGAAUUCAGGUCCCCUGGUUUCCAGUUGGUACUCCGUCCACGACACCACACUUCCUCUUUGAACAUGUGCAAAGUGUUGGUGUUUGGGGAGAUGGUUUUCUUUCAUCUUAUUUAGGUGUAGGAUUUUCUUAGAAAAAAUCUCAAUCCUGCUCACCCCAACCCAGGAUGUCAAUGUUUAUUCCUGCCAUCUCCUGUUUGACCACAUCCACCUUACCAAGGUUCAUGGAUCUUACAUUCCAGAUUCCUAUGCAGUAUUUUUCUUUCCAGCAUCAGAUUUUCCUUUUACUUCCAGG